Eucalyptus grandis is the source of this 1046-nucleotide long non-coding RNA. RefSeq lists it as uncharacterized. The record is from RefSeq and is a predicted model, not a curated record. NCBI's taxonomy places the organism in Eukaryota, Viridiplantae, Streptophyta, Magnoliopsida, Myrtales, Myrtaceae. The transcript is spliced from 2 exons.
UAGACAUCGAUACAUUUGGAGAGUCUUUAGGAGUUUGUCCCCUCCAAAAAGAAAGAGAGAGGAGAAGACUUGAUUUGGAGCUUAAUAGGAGCUCUUGUCGCAGGAGAGAUGGCACUGAGAGCUAUUGCAUUUUAAGAUGUUCACAUGAAGUAGCUGCAAGUGCCAUCUUUUCUCGACAAAAGUCCCUUUAAGUUUUAACCUCAAGAAGUCAUUGCAUGGUCCAUCUUUCUUCUACACGAAGUCACAAAUUCCUCCUUAAAAGAAGAGCAUGGCAAAAGGUGCUUUGCUUAUCCUACGAGGAGAAUGCAUAGAUUCUUGCUAAGCAGAGGUGAAGGAAACAAAAGGAAGGAAACCGAGGGAAAGAAAGAUGGGAACCGUAGACCUGCUCGAGUACUGUGUGUUCAAGACCUUGGCCCUGGACUUGGCAAAGAUGCCGGAGAUCGCUAGGGACAGGCAGUCUACAAUGGUCGUGCCGCAAUGGCCAAUUUCCUGGUCUACGACGUGUACGGCCUCCAACUCACACUGGUGAGGGGCAACACGGAGUUGAGGAGGCUGCUGAUAAACACAGCGAGCUGUAGUCAAGGAGACCGACUGCUCACUUGAUCUCACUGGGCAGAAAAGGGUGAAAAGCAAAGAUGAAGCCAACGAGGAGAAAUCAAAGGAUGAUGAGACUGGUGAAGGAAGCAGAGUCGCACCUCAGGGUCUCUUGAACCUGAUUGAUGGCCUUCCAUGCUGAAGAUGCGACAAGGGAAUCACCCGAUUGGUUGGAAGAGAAUGUCAUGGCCCGAUGAAUCAACACGAUUCAAAGGUUUUCUGUAGAAAGGUCGUGACUGAUCCAUAAACGAGUGAUCCUCAACCGACCCGCAAAGUUUUAAGGUUUUCUUGAAUAUUCUAAAAUACUCCUAGAAGCAAGCAAUACAGUAAUUGUGUACAAAUGUAAUAAAUACGGGUAAUUAGUAGUUAUGGAGAUGCAAUGUUAGAUCAUGAGAAGAUCUGCAGUUACGAUUAGCCUUAUAUUUGUAUAUAUAGGGGCUUCCUCCUUUUCA